RNAcentral lists this ribosomal RNA (482 nucleotides) under uncultured bacterium. RNAcentral describes it as "bacterial SSU rRNA". It matches the Rfam family "Bacterial small subunit ribosomal RNA", at positions 28 to 526 of the family's 1533-position model. The record is from RNAcentral.
GAUGAACGCUGGCGGCGUGCUUAACACAUGCAAGUCGAACGAUUAACCCACCUUCGGGUGGUUAUAAAGUGGCGAACGGGUGAGUAACACGUGACCAACCUACCUUUCACUUUGGGAUAACUCAGAGAAAUUUGAGCUAAUACCAAAUACUCCGGUUUCUUCGCAUGGAGAGACCGGGAAAGUUCCGGCGGUGGAAGAUGGGGUCGCGGCCUAUUAGGUAGUUGGUGGGGUAAUGGCCUACCAAGCCUGCGAUAGGUAGCCGGGUUGAGAGACUGAUCGGCCACAUUGGGACUGAGAUACGGCCCAGACUCCUACGGGAGGCAGCAGUGGGGAAUUUUGCGCAAUGGGCGAAAGCCUGACGCAGCAACGCCGCGUGCGGGAUGAAGGCCUUCGGGUUGUAAACCGCUUUCAGUAGGGAAGAACUUUGACGGUACCUACAGAAGAAGCUCCGGCUAACUACGUGCCAGCCGCCGCAGUAAUAC